This 130-nucleotide small RNA is filed under the name Arabidopsis thaliana (thale cress). RNAcentral describes it as "ATSL023250". The record is from RNAcentral. Lineage: Eukaryota; Viridiplantae; Streptophyta; Magnoliopsida; Brassicales; Brassicaceae.
UAACAAUAUCUAUGUUUAGGCAAGUAGUUAGUGCAAUAUCAUAAUAGUUAAACAAAAGUUUGGUCAUUGUCCUAAAUAAAAUAUCUUGUUUGAUUGAUUUUAUAGGGACUAAACAUACAAUAUCAAAAUU